CGUCAUUGCUUUCCCCUUCCCAGACCAUCACUACAUCCAGACAUCAUUAUAGGACAGAUUGAGCUUUCUUAACAUGUAGGCAGAGGACACAAUCAUUCAUGAAUAUUGUAUAAUGGAUUUAGAGUCCUACGUCUUGGAUUCAAAUCCUGAACUGUGUGACUUUGCCCAGGUUACUCCCCACUUCCUCACCCCCUUGAGUUUUAUUCUUCUCAUCUAUAAAAUGGGAGAGUUAGAUUAGAUGAUCUCAAAUAUCUUCCAGCCCUAUGACUAAAAUACCAUAUUUCUCUCAUUUGAAAGUAGAUUCUCAAUCCUUUUCCAGUCACACAUUAAAGGGGAUAAAAGAAGAGAAAAGGAAAGACAAGAAAAGGUGAGGAGAGGAAGUUAGAAGGACUGCAGACCUGAUUAGAAGUAAGGAAGUGGAAUAAAGCUUUUAAAAGGCUAAGAAUAAAGCUUCACAUUUCAUUUACCAAGUGUUUUCCUCACAAUAGCCUUGUGAAUUGCAGGAUUAUUUGCACUGCUUGUAUUCUGGCCUUUUUUUACCCAUGAGGAAACUGAGGCAAUGAUGUAUGAAAUGACUUGUCCUCAGUCUUGAGGCAAACAAUGAGCUGAUUGUGACCUUCUGGCACCAAGCCCAGGGGUUCUAUUAUGUCAGGCUCAGUCAACACUGGAGGGCUCUCAUCAUCCUUUCCCAAUUCCAUACAGGGGGCAUGGCUUAGAAUUUAAAUGAAGUCAAAGAAGUCCAGAAGGAAGUGAUAUGGGGUCUCUGUGUCCCCCUUCCUGUUUCCCUGCUCCUUCCUAGCCCAGCUAAUCCCCCUUGCUCUUUGUGCCUCCCUGUAAUUUCUGCCUCUGCUGGUCCUGGGCCUGGAUGUGCCAUAUCCUAUAAGCAGGAAAUCCCCUUUGCCUUAAACAUCGAUGGGUGAUACAUGAAUAAGCCUAGAUGAAAAAAGCCCAAUAUCAUCAAUGGGCAUAGGAUCCAAGAGAUUAAGUGAAAGAUUUGCCUCUUACCAUGCCUGGUUUCCUUCAGUUCAGAACUCAUCUUCUGCAGAACAUCUCUGUGCCAGCCCUCCCAUACCCCACUGCGAGAGUUUCCCCAGGAGACAACCCACAUGGACUGCUUCUGUCUUGGAAAGAAAAUAUCUCCCAGACUGUUUUUCACAGGAAACUUAAAAAGCCCUAGGGAAUCCUAAAGAUUGAGGAUCCAAUGAGUUUACUUAAGUUUUUAUCCAGUUCAAUUGAUUUAAAGGAAAUAGAGUGAACUUUAUACCUUAUCUUAUUUCUAAUGAGCUCAUCCAUCCCCACCAAGUUUGGCUCUCUAGAGGUGCAUGCAUAUGCUUGAGAAAAAGAUCCCAAGGUGGACACAGUCAGCUUUAAAGAUGGAAUGUCUAAGACAAAUAAUCCUCAGAACAGAAGAGCUAUUGCAUGUUAUGGCUUUCUGGUCUGCUUCAGGAUCUGAGACUGAUAAAUAGGACCAAGCACAACAAAUGAUUUUGAGAGAGAUGAAAUAUAGUGCCCCUAAAUGACUUUUAAUCAAAAUAAGAUAAGAUGUCUAAAAGGCCCUAUCCAUAGCCAUUACUGUCUGUUGCAUAUGUACCCGUCUUCUGAAAAGUUCUCCCUCCUCCCAAGUCUAUAAUAAUUACCUAAACCAGGGAUUUUUAAUCUAUUUUCUAUUAUAAAUCCCUUUGUUAGGAAAUGCUGGACCUUACACAAUUGUUGUUUACUUUAUGAACUGAUAUCUCCUUGAAAUGUGUUAGCACUUAAAAUGGCCAUAGGGUCAUAGAUUUAGCACCCUUGGAAACUUUUAAGGUUCCUAGGCUCAAUACCCUCAUUUUUUAGACAAGGAAACUGAGGCCCCAGAGAAGGCAGGUGAUUAUAUGCUAUUAUAUGGCAGAGUCAGGUUUCGUUCCCAUUUCUGCUGACUCCAAAAAACAGUUCAUUUUGUACUGUGACAUGGUCUCUUGACAAUAACUUUGGAGUGAUUUUACAUAUAUCAAAUUCGUGAUGCUAAAAUCAAAGGCAAUGUUGAAAUAGUCAGAUUGUUUUUCUGCUGCAAAUUAAUUGGUCAAUUUAUCACCACUCAGUUGUCUGAGAAGAAGCAUGCUACAAGAAAAUUUCUUGUUUUUUCUGCAUAUUCAUCACCUAGCUCAUUUCCUGAUUCAGAAUCUAUUUUCAUUUCAUUAAUGGCCAUGAAAACAGCUGAUGCAGGAGCUGUGCCAUACUUUGAACUUGGUCAGACAUUGAAGAUCCCAAAGUUAUCUACUGUAUCCUGAGCUAUCAGCUCUUAUCUUGAAUUUCUCAUCAUUGGACAUCAAUGACUCUGGAAAUGACAUCUGAUGACUGACUGUGCAAAUCUGUCUCACUUAAAUCCAAUUCAUGUGAAGUCAAGACAUCAUUCUGUGAUAUCACAGGUAUUUCUCAAAAAUAAAGGGUGAACAACAACAACCAAAAAGGUAGUCUUGGAUAGUUCUCUCCCUCUUUGGCCCCAAGUCCUCAUAUUUCUCAUCACAAAAUAAAGAAUUUGAGGCAGCAUAAUGGGAGUGGAAAGAGUAUUAUCAUAGGAAUUCAAGCACUUGAGUUCCAAUCCCGACUUUGUCAUUUAUUCCCUAUGUCUCCUUUGGCAAGUUAAAACCUCUCCAUUCAUCAUCUGUCAAAAAAAAAAAAAAAAAGCUUCUGGAAUAGAUUACUUUGAAGUUCCCUUCCAGCUCUGAUCUAUAGAUUGAAGGGAGCUUGCAAAACCC
RNAcentral lists this long non-coding RNA (2735 nucleotides) under Sarcophilus harrisii (Tasmanian devil). RNAcentral's name for it is "lncRNA (ENSSHAG00000030784.1)". Lineage: Eukaryota; Metazoa; Chordata; Mammalia; Dasyuromorphia; Dasyuridae. The record is from RNAcentral.